Molecule: long non-coding RNA, 1279 nt
Organism: Helianthus annuus (common sunflower)
Lineage: Eukaryota; Viridiplantae; Streptophyta; Magnoliopsida; Asterales; Asteraceae
Exons: 2
Source: RefSeq, a predicted model, not a curated record
AUCCUCCAAAGAUGGACCAUCACCAUACCCACUAGCCUUAUACAAGAGUGAAGGUCCCUCAGUUUGUUAUUUUCACUUUUACCCUCUUAUUUAUUUAAUGGAACUAGCUUGAACAUUCACAUGAUAUUAAAUGGAACUUACGUUUUGCUUUAUUUCAGGUUGCUGACUUUGAAAAUUAGUGUAGCAGUUUUCAUUUCUAAUCCUUUGGUUGUUUAAGCAAGGUGAUGAAUGUGGUAACCUGGCAUAAUUAGGUGCUUCGAAUCUCAAUGUGAAUUACUCGUUCAGUAAUUUCUCGUUUAAGUGGAUGCCUGAACUUCGACGAUUUGCACCAAAUGUUCCGGUAGUACUUGUUGGGACAAAACUAGGUACACAUUACAGUUUAUAUGAUCAUGUUAUAUUUCAAUUAAUUAAUCUUCAUUAAAUACAAUAGGUGGCAUAAGUCAAAAUGUGUUCGAAGUAUGUUUUUAAUGCAUAAAAUAUCUUAAAUCUUAUCAACCCAACCAGACUUGAGCCGGAUCAAUUGAAAGCAAUUGAAACCGAUGAUUGAAGAGGCCAAUGGAAUCCGCCCCUGCGCUUCCAGCCCCCCCCCCCCCAUAUACUCAGGAAUUCUCUCUUUCAGGAGGCGGCAAUUGCGGGGGUUCAAAUUAUCCUCUUCCAAUUUACCUGUAAGGUAUACCCUAUUAUUUAUUUUACAUAUACAUACUGAGUUCUUUUUUUAACAUAAUGUGCCCUUCAAAAUAUCGGGCACUGGCCGGUGGUCCUCCCUGCCCACCCCCAGGGCCGCCCCUGCCUAUUUUGACGGUUACCCAACAUAUCUAUUGUUUAUCUAGAUUGUGGUCAAUUUCAGUCGAGACACGGUUUUUCUAAGGCUUUUGAAGCUGGUGGUUAAAGUCUGUAGCGGUGGUAGUGUCCUUAUACGCUGGGAGAGGCAACAUAAUGUGCUUUGAAGUUGCAGAUUUGUACUCCAAACUGACUGUAGUAUCAAACCAUAAUAUCUCAUGUUGUGUUUCUCUUCAUGUGUUUGGUACAAUUUCAGGUUUAGGCUAAAUUUUUUUGGGUUUGUGCUUGAUUCGACCUGUAAACAUGACCCUCAACAAAAAGAAAGACACCUCAACAACAAGGAUGGCCACACUACACGACCUAGCAGGUGACCAAUGAAUGUUUGAAGACGGGUUGUACAUCUAACAAAACUACUAGAGCGAUUUUUUUUGUAAGGUUAGAGUGACGGGUUAGAUUUUGUAAGUAACAAACUUCAUGCUUAACGUCAACAUUUGUAACA